UGGGGAACCUGCCCCAUAGUCUGGGAUACCACUUGUAAACAGGUGCUAAUACCGGAUAAGAAAGCAGAUCGCAUGAUCAGCUUUUAAAAGGCGGCGUAAGCUGUCGCUAUGGGAUGGCCCCGCGGUGCAUUAGCUAGUUGGUAAGGUAAAGGCUUACCAAGGCGAUGAUGCAUAGCCGAGUUGAGAGACUGAUCGGCCACAUUGGGACUGAGACACGGCCCAAACUCCUACGGGAGGCAGCAGCC
RNAcentral lists this ribosomal RNA (245 nucleotides) under uncultured Lactobacillus sp. Its description in RNAcentral is "partial 16S ribosomal RNA". It matches the Rfam family "Bacterial small subunit ribosomal RNA", at positions 118 to 355 of the family's 1533-position model. The record is from RNAcentral. Lineage: Bacteria; Bacillati; Bacillota; Bacilli; Lactobacillales; Lactobacillaceae.